CUAGCUGUAAACGAUGGAUACUAGGCGUUGAGAGUAUCGACCCUCUCAGUGCCGUAGCUAACGCGUUAAGUAUCCCGCCUGGGGAGUACGCGCGCAAGCGUGAAACUCAAAGGAAUUGACGGGGGCCCGCACAAGCGGUGGAGUAUGUGGUUUAAUUCGAUGCAACGCGAAGAACCUUACCAGGGCUUGACAUGUCCGGAACCCUGCCCAAAGGCGGGGGUGCCUACGGGAACCGGAACACAGGCGGUGC
RNAcentral lists this ribosomal RNA (250 nucleotides) under uncultured Chroococcidiopsis sp. RNAcentral's name for it is "partial 16S ribosomal RNA". It matches the Rfam family "Bacterial small subunit ribosomal RNA", at positions 796 to 1044 of the family's 1533-position model. Lineage: Bacteria; Bacillati; Cyanobacteriota; Cyanophyceae; Chroococcidiopsidales; Chroococcidiopsidaceae. The record is from RNAcentral.